ACCGGACAGGGCAUGCAGGCUCUUUGUUCGCCGGUGGGGCCACCAAUAUCAGGAAUUCAGGCAAUGAAUGAAGGAGACACGAGAGCAUGAAUAAAUCGGCUGGACGACAAUGGGAUAUCCGCUGUUCCUGCUUUCACUAAAUAUAAUAAACGGACAGCUCGGAUGAAUACCCUUCAAGGACAAGACGGUCCCCACAACCAAUCCGACCCAACUCAGCCCAACGCAAUGCACUGGGGAAACAUGCCACGUAAGCUUAGUUGGACUUGGAAACAUACGCAACUAUCCAAGAAGCAGCCUCGCACAAGAAACACCGAGAUUUUCUUCUCCAAGAAAAUUUUCCGCAGGCAUUCCAGUUGAAAAAGAUAUCCAUCACAAUGAUAUGUUGUUGGAUCGGGAGGGAAAGCAACCAGUCGAUGCUUCUUUGACUAUUGGAUUUACUCUAUACAGCAUAUGCGACAUUUACACCCUAUACUGAUAUGGGGAUUUGACGUUAAUCAAUAUAUUGCAGCAGGACGAAAGAAGGAUUGGAGAGCCACCUGAGCAUGAAUCGGAAAAACCAGCCUCUUCAUCAUGGUAAAGUACUUGCCUAGAUUGCUUUUUAGGCGCCAAAGGCUGCUUCCAUCGCAUUUAGGAUGGCAGGAGUAUUGAAGCUGAAGUUCCUGAAAGACUUGCCCGGGCGCGUGUCAGAUGGAGAUGCUUCAGGUGGAGAUUUAGAUGACUCUGAUUCACCUUUUGUGAUCAUCAAUUGACCUUGGGUUGGACUUAUCUGUGCACUCCAAAUAAGUUUUCCUGGGUAAACGCCAACAUCAGCAGCAGCAAGGAAGAAGAAAUGGAGCUGCCUGCAUGAGUUCCAUGGAAUUUGUUCUUCCUCCAAAAGUUUGGGUGAAAACAGAAUUCAACGUAAGAUUUCCCAAUUGUGUUUCAAAGGCAGUAAAUAGUUAUGUUUCCGAUCAAUUUUUUUUCUUGGUCAGGGAAACACUAGAAAAGUGAGUAAUUCCGUGACUAGCUUUUUCUUAAACAAACAGAUACUUGAUACCUGAGUAAUUUAGAAAAAAUUAGUUAUUAGCAAGUGUUAAUAUUACAACCAACAUAAUCGACAAGAUGAAUGCAGAAAACCUUUUGUAGGCACAGCAGAACCUUGAGCAACCAAGGCAGGAUGCUCUGAAAUCCAUGACUUCAGAGAUCU
Non-coding RNA from Punica granatum (pomegranate), 1186 nucleotides. The record is from RefSeq and is a predicted model, not a curated record. Lineage: Eukaryota; Viridiplantae; Streptophyta; Magnoliopsida; Myrtales; Lythraceae.